RNAcentral lists this non-coding RNA (93 nucleotides) under Leptolyngbya sp. RNAcentral's name for it is "TPP sequence". It matches the Rfam family "TPP riboswitch aptamer (THI element)". Rfam says of the family: Vitamin B(1) in its active form thiamin pyrophosphate (TPP) is an essential coenzyme that is synthesised by coupling of pyrimidine and thiazole moieties in bacteria. The previously detected thiamin-regulatory element, thi box was extended, resulting in a new, highly conserved RNA secondary structure, the THI element, which is widely distributed in eubacteria and also occurs in some archaea. Lineage: Bacteria; Bacillati; Cyanobacteriota; Cyanophyceae; Leptolyngbyales; Leptolyngbyaceae. The record is from RNAcentral.
CAAUCAAGCUAGGGGUGCCCCACCGGGCUGAGAACAAACCCUUAGAACCUGAGACUGGGUAAUGCCAGCGAAGGGAAGCUAACUAUCAGAGGA